AUUGAACGCUGGCGGCAGGCCUAACACAUGCAAGUCGAACGAGUGCCGGACAGGUGUGUAUUGUCUGGGAAAAUGCCCGCUUGAGGGGGAUAACUCCUGGAAACGGUAGCUAAAACCGCAUACCAUCGGAUGUGCCCCACUGGGAUUAGCUAGUAGGUGGGGUAACGGCUAACCUAGGCGACGAGCCCUAGCUGGUCUGAGAGGAGGACCAGCCACACUGGCACUGAGACACGGUCCAGACUCCUACGGGAGGCAGCAGUGGGGAAUAUUGCACAAUGGGCGCAAGCCUGAUGCAGCCAUGCCGCGUGUAUGAAGAAGGCCUUCGGGUUGUAAAGUACUUUCAGCGAGGAGGCGUUACUCGCAGAAUAAGCACCGGCUAACUCCGUGCCAGCAGCCGCGGUAAUUC
This 406-nucleotide ribosomal RNA is filed under the name uncultured bacterium. Its description in RNAcentral is "partial 16S ribosomal RNA". It matches the Rfam family "Bacterial small subunit ribosomal RNA", at positions 30 to 526 of the family's 1533-position model. The record is from RNAcentral.